Acanthosepion pharaonis is the source of this 86-nucleotide non-coding RNA. Lineage: Eukaryota; Metazoa; Mollusca; Cephalopoda; Sepiida; Sepiidae. The record is from the annotation of a GenBank genome assembly.
ACUCGCCCGAUCACCGAAGUUAAGCAAUGUUGAGCCUGGUCAGUGCUUAGAUGGGUGACUGUUUGGGAAAAACCAGUUGCUGUAGG